GGGGCCAUAGCUCAGAUGGGAGAGCACCUGCCUUGCACGCAGGGGGUCGGCGGUUCGAUCCCGCCUGGCUCCACCA
RNAcentral lists this transfer RNA (76 nucleotides) under Thiotrichales bacterium. Its description in RNAcentral is "tRNA-Ala". It matches the Rfam family "tRNA". From Rfam's summary of the family: Transfer RNA (tRNA) molecules are approximately 80 nucleotides in length. Lineage: Bacteria; Pseudomonadati; Pseudomonadota; Gammaproteobacteria; Thiotrichales. The record is from RNAcentral.